This 397-nucleotide ribosomal RNA is filed under the name uncultured bacterium. RNAcentral describes it as "bacterial SSU rRNA". It matches the Rfam family "Bacterial small subunit ribosomal RNA", at positions 362 to 776 of the family's 1533-position model. The record is from RNAcentral.
UAUUGCACAAUGGGGGAAACCCUGAUGCAGCGACGCCGCGUGAAGGAAGAAGUAUCUCGGUAUGUAAACUUCUAUCAGCAGGGAAGAAAAUGACGGUACCUGACUAAGAAGCCCCGGCUAACUACGUGCCAGCAGCCGCGGAAAUACGUAGGGGGCAAGCGUUAUCCGGAUUUACUGGGUGUAAAGGGAGCGUAGACGGAUGGACAAGUCUGAUGUGAAAGGCUGGGGCUCAACCCCGGGACUGCAUUGGAAGCUGCCCGUCUUGAGUGCCGGAGAGGUAAGCGGAAUUCCUAGUGUAGCGGUGAAAUGCGUAGAUAUUAGGAGGAACACCAGUGGCGAAGGCGGCUUACUGGACGGUAACUGACGUUGAGGCUCGAAAGCGUGGGGAGCAAACAGG